GCGGUAAUACGUAGGUGGCAAGCGUUGUCCGGAAUUAUUGGGCGUAAAGCGCGCGCAGGCGGAUCAGUUAGUCUGUCUUAAAAGUUCGGGGCUUAACCCCGUGAUGGGAUGGAAACUGCUGAUCUAGAGUAUCGGAGAGGAAAGUGGAAUUCCUAGUGUAGCGGUGAAAUGCGUAGAUAUUAGGAAGAACACCAGUGGCGAAGGCGACUUUCUGGACGAAAACUGACGCUGAGAAGCGAAAGCAUGGGGAGCGAACAGGAUUAGAUACCCUGGUAGUCCAUGCCGUAAACGUUGGGCACUAGGUGUGGGGGACAUUCCACGUUUUCCGCGCCGUAGCUAACGCAUUAAGUGCCCCGCCUGGGGAGUACGGCCGCAAGGCUAAAACUCAAAGAAAUUGACGGGGGCCCGCACAAGCGGCGGAGCAUGCGGAUUAAUUCGAUGCAACGCGAAGAACCUUACCAAGGCUUGACAU
Molecule: ribosomal RNA, 472 nt
Filed under: uncultured bacterium
Lineage: Bacteria
Description: bacterial SSU rRNA
Rfam family: Bacterial small subunit ribosomal RNA
Source: RNAcentral